AUGACUUCCAAAAGACAAUACGUUCUAUAUCCAAAUAGGUCUUUUCAAAGGGAAAGCCAUGUUACCAACCUAAAUUCAAGAAGAAGGAUUAAUUUUUCAUCAUCAAGUUGCAACUCAGAAAAUAAUAUCAGUAUCAGAAAGCCAGAAAAUCGCGAGGUAUGUCAUAACUGGAUUCUCUCGAUACCUAAAAAUGCAGCCAAAGAUUCUGAAGUGGAAAUUCCUAUUCCUCCUAGUCUACAUAGAUCCCUAACUGAUUCUAAAAACUCUCUGAUUGGUUCAAUCAUAGAAGAAUGUGGCAAAGUUCAGAUUCAUUUUACACGUAACAUCCAAGGACCUCAAAAAGUCAUUAUUAGUGGCCCCACAGAAAUUGUUGAAAAAACCAAGAAAAAGUUUCUACAACUCGCAGAAGAGGAGCAAGCCAAAAGUUACUCUGUGGCUAUUCCUGUCAAGUCAAAAUAUCACCAAUUUCUUAUGAGUAAAAAUGGUGGCAAUCUUCAGAAAAUCUGUGAGAAGACAGGGGCACGAAUCAUUUUUCCUACCUUUAAGACCAAGGAUCAAGAAUCAGUAACUAUCAUAGGAACAGAAGAGGCUGUUAAAAAUGUGCAAAAAGACUUAGAGGUUUUACUGAAAGAUUUGGAGGAUGUGGUGGAGGACAGCAUAUUGAUAAGUCCUAAGUACCACAAUUACUUUGUUAUGCAAAGGGGACAACUUUUACGAGAAAUAAUUAAAGAAUAUGGUGGUGUAUUUAUUACAUUUUCUUAUGCUGGAAAACAGAGUACAAAAGUUACAAUAAAAGGAGCAAAACCUUGUGUGGAAGCAGCAAAGAAACAUAUUCAGGGGAUAUUUGAUCCCUUGGGUUCUCAAGUCACAGCACAGUGUGUUGUUCCCCCCAAAUUCCAUCCUUUUAUCAUGGGACCUAUAUGCUCUCGAAUUCAACAGAUUUCAAGAGACUGUAAAGUUCAAAUCAAAUUUCCAGACACAGACAAGACUACUAGGAAGACACGUCCAGAGCUUCAGGAAAUGGGAAAAGAAAACGGUGGAAAGAAUAUAAAAAAAAUUGCUUCUACUUCUCCUAAGAAAAGUGACACCAUGUCUAUUUCAGGCAAAAUAGAAAAUUGCAAGGAGGCCGCACAAGCUCUGGAGAAUCUUGUUCCUGUCACCGCUGAAGUUCAAGUACCUUUUCAUUUACAUCCUUACAUCAUUGGGCACAAAGGAAGUGGAUUACGCAAGCUAAUAAAAGACUUUGAAGUUCAUAUUCAAGUAUCACAACCUGGAGGAAAUUUUCACAUCAUAUCAAUUAUGGGCCUUGAAGCAAAUGUGGAACAAGCCAAGACGAAAUUGCAAAAUCAAGUAAAAGCCUUACAAAUGGAACUAGACGAUCAGACACUAAGAAAUUUCAGGCAAACAUUCAGAUUAGAUCCCAAAUAUCAUUCCAAGAUCUUUGGUAAUAAAGGUAUACUUAUUUCCCAAAUUUGCACAGAAUAUGAUGUCACUGUCCAUUUUUCAAAGAAAGGAAGCAACUCGAUCCAAGACCAAAUUACCAUUUCUGGCUCUAAAAGUAACAUCCUCGGUGCCCGUGAUGCAAUAAUGAACAUGCUGCCUAAGAUUGAAAAAACAGUUUCCAAGGAAAUCCCACUGAACCACCAUGUUUGUGCCAAUAUUAUUGGAUUUGGUGGAAAAUCCAUCCAGAAAAUCAUGGAACAAUUCCAAGUAGACAUCCGUGUACCUUCAAAAGGAUCUUGUAAUAAUUCUAGCAUCAUUGUAAGUGGAUCAUCUUAUAAUGUGCAAGAAGCAAUUGACUAUAUCUUAAAUCUUGAGAAACAUUUCCUAUCUGUUGGAAAAUCUGAUCCUCCAUUGGACCAUCAUAAGCGUGGUGGUCUUUGUAACACAGCUGCAAGAACAUCUAAGAGUUUUAGUAAAAGAAAUGCUCUUCGUAAUGCAAAAUCCAGCACACAUCCUCCACGUAUGGACAAUUCUGAAGAUUUCCCCAAAUUGAAACAUCAAACAUCUCCUAAGCUUCACCCUUGGAGACCGUAA
RNA transcript from Grammomys surdaster, 2037 nucleotides. It is a transcript of the gene named vigilin pseudogene, with no coding region annotated. Lineage: Eukaryota; Metazoa; Chordata; Mammalia; Rodentia; Muridae. The transcript has a single exon. The record is from RefSeq and is a predicted model, not a curated record.